Molecule: ribosomal RNA, 441 nt
Filed under: uncultured bacterium
Lineage: Bacteria
Description: bacterial SSU rRNA
Rfam family: Bacterial small subunit ribosomal RNA
Source: RNAcentral
AACGCGAAGAACCUUACCUACCCUUGACAUCCUGAGAAUUUUGUAGAGAUACGAAAGUGCCGAAAGGAACUUAGAGACAGGUGCUGCAUGGCUGUCGUCAGCUCGUGUUGUGAGAUGUUGGGUUAAGUCCCGUAACGAGCGCAACCCUUAUCCUUAGUUACUAACACGUUAUGGUGAGGACUCUAAGGAGACUGCUGGUGAUGAACCGGAGGAAGGCGGGGACGACGUCAAGUCAUCAUGGCCUUUAUGGGUAGGGCUACACACGUGCUACAAUGGGCAGUACAGAGGGAAGCCAACCCGCGAGGGGGAGCCGAUCCCGAAAAGCUGUUCGUAGUCCGGAUUGGAGUCUGCAACUCGACUCCAUGAAGUUGGAAUCGCUAGUAAUCGCGAAUCAGAAUGUCGCGGUGAAUACGUUCCCGGGCCUUGUACACACCGCUCGUC